Molecule: unclassified non-coding RNA, 201 nt
Filed under: Hevea brasiliensis (rubber tree)
Lineage: Eukaryota; Viridiplantae; Streptophyta; Magnoliopsida; Malpighiales; Euphorbiaceae
Source: RNAcentral
UUGGGCUAUGGUUUCUUUUGGCAGGGGGCACAAAGAGGAGUUAAUGCGUGGUUCAGGCUACUCUCCGUGCAAAGGUAAUUGGAUUGUAAUCUCUUGGGAACUUCCAUUUUUACAGCCAUUUUGCGUGCUGAUUGUUGGCCGCUGUGUUGCUGUUAUUCAGGUGGCCCCUCGAUUCUAGCUCCGAACUACUGCCAAACCUGG